Molecule: ribosomal RNA, 460 nt
Filed under: uncultured bacterium
Lineage: Bacteria
Description: partial 16S ribosomal RNA
Rfam family: Bacterial small subunit ribosomal RNA
Source: RNAcentral
CCUACGUGUGGCAGCAGUGAGGAAUAUUGGUCAAUGGCCGUAAGGCUGAACCAGCCAAGUAGCGUGAGGGAAGACUGCCCUAUGGGUUGUAAACCUCUUUUAUGCGGGGAUAAAGGUGUCCACGUGUGGAUGUUUGCAGGUACUGUAUGAAUAAGGACCGGCUAAUUCCGUGCCAGCAGCCGCGGUAAUACGGAAGGUCCGGGCGUUAUCCGGAUUUAUUGGGUUUAAAGGGAGCGUAGGCCGGUCUUUAAGUGUGCCGUGAAAUUUUGUGGCUCAACCAUGAGAGUGCGGCGCGAACUGGCAGCCUUGAGUACACUGGAGGCAGGCGGAAUUCGUGGUGUAGCGGUGAAAUGCUUAGAUAUCACGAAGAACCCCGAUUGCGAAGGCAGCCUGCCGCAGCGUUACUGACACUGAAGCUCGAAAGCGCGGGUAUCGAACAGGAUUAGAUACCCUUGUAGUC